UACAGCAACAACUGGAAGAGGCUAGAAUGAUCUUUGAUGACAAGGAUGGAGUCAUUUCUAAUAAAGAUGUGGUCAUCAACCAGCAAACAUCAUCAAUUGAGGAGCUGACUGCCAUUGGACAGCAUCUGAGAGAGAAAGUUAAAGACCUGGAAGACCAGCUAGAUUUAGCAGUGGC
Molecule: long non-coding RNA, 175 nt
Organism: Sardina pilchardus (European sardine)
Lineage: Eukaryota; Metazoa; Chordata; Actinopteri; Clupeiformes; Clupeidae
Exons: 3
Source: RefSeq, a predicted model, not a curated record